This 226-nucleotide ribosomal RNA is filed under the name uncultured bacterium. Its description in RNAcentral is "partial 16S ribosomal RNA". It matches the Rfam family "Bacterial small subunit ribosomal RNA", at positions 538 to 763 of the family's 1533-position model. The record is from RNAcentral.
GCGUUAAUCGGAAUUACUGGGCGUAAAGCGUGCGCAGGCGGUAAUGUAAGACAGUUGUGAAAUCCCCGGGCUCAACCUGGGAACUGCAUCUGUGACUGCAUUGCUGGAGUACGGCAGAGGGGGAUGGAAUUCCGCGUGUAGCAGUGAAAUGCGUAGAUAUGCGGAGGAACACCGAUGGCGAAGGCAAUCCCCUGGGCCUGUACUGACGCUCAUGCACGAAAGCGUG